GAUGAACGCUGGCGGCGUGCCUAAUACAUGCAAGUCGAGCGGACAGACGAGGAGCUUGCUCCUCUGACGUUAGCGGCGGACGGGAGAGUAACACGUGGAUAACCUACCUAUCAGACUGGGAUCACUUCGGGACACCGGCGCUAAUACCGGAUGAUCUAUUGAACCGCAUGGUUGGAUGGUGAAAGACGGCUUUGCUGUCUCUUCUAGAUGGAUCCGAGCUGUAUUAGCUAGUUGGUAAGGUAACGGCCUACCAAGGCAACUAUGCGUAGCCGACCGGACGGGGUGAUCGGCCACACUGGAGCUUGGACACGCUCCUGGCGCCUGCGGGAGGGAGCAGUAGGGUAUCUUCCGCAGUAGUCGAGAGCCUUGCGGAGCAACCCCACGUGUGUUGUGGAGGUCUUCCGAUCGUAAAACUCUGUUAUUAGUGAUGAACAAAUUUGUAAGUAGCUAUGCACGUCGUGACGGUACCUAAUCAGAAAGCCCCGGCUAACUACGUG
RNAcentral lists this ribosomal RNA (497 nucleotides) under uncultured bacterium. RNAcentral's name for it is "partial 16S ribosomal RNA". It matches the Rfam family "Bacterial small subunit ribosomal RNA", at positions 28 to 507 of the family's 1533-position model. The record is from RNAcentral.